Hydractinia symbiolongicarpus is the source of this 4473-nucleotide long non-coding RNA. RefSeq lists it as uncharacterized. The record is from RefSeq and is a predicted model, not a curated record. The transcript has 2 exons. Lineage: Eukaryota; Metazoa; Cnidaria; Hydrozoa; Anthoathecata; Hydractiniidae.
UAAUAAUAAUAAUAAUAAUAAUAAUAAUAAUACUAAACCGCGCUGCAUAUGUCUAGAGCAUUUCUUGCUGUUUAAUUUCGCAUUGACAAUAUACACAGUUUCAGCUUUUAACAUGAUCGACCGUGUGGCAUUCGGGCAUUGACGCCAUCGAGAACAUAUUAUUUUAUUAUGAACUCGUCCUCGGUAGUAUAGUGGUAAGUAUCCCCGCCUGUCACGCGGGAGACCGGGGUUCGAUUCCCCGCCGGGGAGGUUCUUUUUAUCUUGUCAAUGUUUCGUUUCACGUCAGUAGCGUUCGCGGGACUGUCCGGGAAGACAGAUUUACGCCCGGUUAGCUCAGUCGGUAGAGCAUCAGACUUUUAAUCUGAGGGUCGCGGGUUCGAGUCCCUCAUCGGGCGUAACAAUUAUUUGGUACGAUGGUGAACUAACUUUCACCACAAUGUCUUGUCGAAAGAGGAUGAAUAAUGUAACAUUUGCGGAGUGGCAAAGGCGAAGCAAACUUGAUGGGGAACUAGCUCAGAUGGUAGAGCGCUCGCUUAGCAUGCUAGAGGUACCGGGAUCGAUGCCCGGGUUCUCCAAUGCCUUUUCCAUAGGCGUAAAAUAAAUGAAAUUUGCGCAGAGCAAUUUGCAGCAGCGUUCGUGUCAUGUCGGGAUGACCGAGCGGUCUAAGGCGCCAGACUCAAGACAAAAUGUUCUUCCACUUAUCGCGUGGAGAAUUCUGGUCCUCGAAUGAGGGCGUGGGUUUGAAUCCCACUUCCGACAACUUUUCCCUGCCACACAAAAUUUUAGGCCUAAAAUGCAAGUCCACCGAGCCGGAUUUGAAACAGCGACCUAAGGAUGCCUGAGUGGUAUAAGUUGGUCUACAGUCCUCCGCUCUACCAACUGAGCUAUCGGUGGAUGUAGCAUCGUAGAGUUCUUGUGCAGGACUAUGCAGGUCAUGUCACGUUUGUAGUAUGACGUGGUUUUUAAAAUGAUGCGAUGGCUCGCACGUAGCAGAGGGUGGUUUCGAUCCACCGACCUCUGGGUUAUGGGCCCAGCACGCUUCCUCUGCGCCACUCUGCUGAAGGUAGGUAAGCUGAAAUGUGUCUGAUGUAAGGUGUAGUUUAGUAUUGCGAACAGCACUCGAACUAUGACCUUUUUACCAUUUCCAGGGGGAUUAGCUCACAUGGUAGAGCGCUCGCUUUGCAUGCGAGAGUUACCGGGAUCGAUGCCCGGGUUUUCCAAUGCCUUUUCCAUAGGCGUAAAAUAAAUGAAAUUUGCGCAAAACAAUUUGCAGCAGCGUUCGUGUCAUGUCGGGAUGGCCGAGCGGUCUAAGGCGCCAGACUCAAGACAAAAUGUUCUUCCACUCAUCGCGUGGAGAAUUCUGGUCCUCGAAUGAGGGCGUGGGUUCGAAUCCCACUUCCGACAAGUUUUCCCUGCCACACAAAAUUUUAGGCCUAGAAUGCAAGUCCACCGAGCCGGAUUUGAACCAGCGACCUAAGGAUGCCUGAGUGGUAUAAGUUCGUCUACAGUCCUCCGCUCUACCAACUGAGCUAUCGGUGGAUGUAGCGUCGUACAGUUCUUGUGCAGGACUAUGCAGGUCAUGUCACGUUUGUAGUAUGACGUGGUUUUUAAAAUGAUGCGAUAGCUCGCACGUAGCAGAGGGUGGUUUCGAUCCACUGCCCUCUGGGUUAUGGGCCCAGCACGCUUCCUCUGCGCCACUCUGCUGAAGGUAGGUAAGCUGAAAUGUGUCUGAUGUAAGGUGUAGUUUAGUAUUGCGAACAGCACUCGAACUAUGACCUUUUUAACAUUUCCAGGGGGAUUAGCUCACAUGGUAGAGCGCUCGCUUUGCAUGCGAGAGGUACCGGGAUCGAUGCCAGGAUCCUCCAAGACGAUGUUUUCAAUUUAUUUAUUUUUAUACUAAUUUCAGUAGUUGCCAAUGGUCAUAAGAGGAUUUAUGAUGCUCCUAAGAUUACCUGGUAUUAAUAAAAAUAAUAAUAAUAAUAAUACUAAACCGCGCUGCAUAUGUCUAGAGCAUUUCUUGCUGUUUAAUUUCGCAUUGACAAUAUACACAGUUUCAGCUUUUAACAUGAUCGACCGUGUGGCAUUCGGGCAUUGACGCCAUCGCGAACAUAUUAUUUCAAUAUGAACUCGUCCUCGGUAGUAUAGUGGUAAGUAUCCCCGCCUGUCACGCGGGAGACCGGGGUUCGAUUCCCCGCCGGGGAGGUUCUUUUUAUCUUGUCAAUGUUUCGUUUCACGUCAGUAGCGUUCGCGGGACUGUCCGGGAAGACAGAUUUACGCCCGGUUAGCUCAGUCGGUAGAGCAUCAGACUUUUAAUCUGAGGGUCGCGGGCUCGAGUCCCUCAUCGGGCGUAACAAUUAUUUGGUACGAUGGUGAACUAACUUUCACCACAAUGUCUUGUCGAAAGAGGAUGAAUAACGUAACAUUUGCGGAGUGGCAAAGGCGAAGCAAACUUGAUGGGAACUAGCUCAGAUGGUAGAGCGCUCGCUUAGCAUGCUAGAGGUACCGGGAUCGAUGCCCGGGUUCUCCAAUGCCUUUUCCAUAGGCGUAAAAUAAAUGAAAUUUGCGCAGAGCAAUUUGCAGCAGCGUUCGUGUCAUGUCGGGAUGGCCGAGCGGUCUAAGGCGCCAGACUCAAGACAAAAUGCUCUUCCACUCAUCGCGUGGAGAAUUCUGGUCCUCGAAUGAGGGCGUGGGUUCGAAUCCCACUUCCGACAAGUUUUCCCUGCCACACAAAAUUUUAGGCCUAAAAUGCAAGUCCACCGAGCCGGAUUUGAACCAGCGACCUAAGGAUGCCUGAGUGGUAUAAGUUCGUCUACAGUCCUCCGCUCUACCAACUGAGCUAUCGGUGGAUGUAGCGUCGUACAGUUCUUGUGCAGGACUAUGCAGGUCAUGUCACGUUUGUAGUAUGACGUGGUUUUUAAAAUGAUGCGAUAGCUCGCACGUAGCAGAGGGUGGUUUCGAUCCACUGACCUCUGGGUUAUGGGCCCAGCACGCUUCCUCUGCGCCACUCUGCUGAAGGUAGGUAAGCUGAAAUGUGUCUGAUGUAAGGUGUAGUUUAGUAUUGCGAACAGCACUCGAACUAUGACCUUUUUAACAUUUCCAGGGGGAUUAGCUCACAUGGUAGAGCGCUCGCUUUGCAUGCGAGAGGUACCGGGAUCGAUGCCCGGGUUCUCCAAUGCCUUUUCCAUAGGCGUAAAAUAAAUGAAAUUUGCGCAGAGCAAUUUGCAGCAGCGUUCGUGUCAUGUCGGGAUGGCCGAGCGGUCUAAGGCGCCAGACUCAAGACAAAAUGUUCUUUCACUCAUCGCGUGGAGAAUUCUGGUCCUCGAAUGAGGGCGUGGGUUCAAAUCCCACUUCCGACAACUUUUCCCUGCCACACAAAAUUUUAGGCCUAAAAUGCAAGUCCACCGAGCCGGAUUUGAACCAGCGACCUAAGGAUGCCUGAGUGGUAUAAGUUCGUCAACAGUCCUCCGCUCUACCAACUGAGCUAUCGGUGGAUGUAGCAUCGUAGAGUUCUUGAGCAGGACUAUGCAGGUCAUGUAACGUUUGUAGUAUGACGUGGUUUUUAAAAUGAUGCGAUAGCUCGCACGUAGCAGAGGGUGGUUUCGAUCCACCGACCUCUGGGUUAUGGGCCCAGCACGCUUCCUCUGCGCCACUCUGCUGAAGGUAGGUAAGCUGAAAUGUGUCUGAUGUAAGGUGUAGUUUAGUAUUGCGAACGGCACUCGAACUAUGACCUUUUUAACUUUUCCAGGGCUAUUAGCUCACAUGGUAGAGCACUCGUUUUGCAUGCGAGAGGUACCGGGAUCGAUGCCCGGAUCCUCCAAGACGAUGUUUUUAAUUUAUUUAUUUUUAUACUAAUUUCAGUAGUUGCCAAUGGUCAUAAGAGGAUUUAUGAUGCUCCUAAGAUUACCUGGUAUUAAUAAUAAUAAUAAUAAUAAUAAUAAUACUAAACCGCGCUGCAUAUGUCUAGAGCAUUUCUUGCUGUUUAAUUUCGCAUUGACAAUAUACACAGUUUCAGCUUUUAACAUGAUCGACCGUGUGGCAUUCGGGCAUUGACGCCAUCGAGAACAUAUUAUUUAAGUAUGAACUCGUCCUCGGUAGUAUAGUGGUAAGUAUCCCCGCCUGUCACGCGGGAGACCGGGGUUCGAUUCCCCGCCGGGGAGGUUCUUUUUAUCUUGUCAAUGUUUCGUUUCACGUCAGUAGCGUUCGCGGGACUGUCCGGGAAGGCGGAUUUACGCCCGGUUAGCUCAGUCGGUAGAGCAUCAGACUUUUAAUCUGAGGGUCGCGGGUUCGAGUCCCUCAUCGGGCGUAACAAUUAUUUGGUACGAUGGUGAACUAACUUUCACCACAAUGUCUUGUCGAAAGAGGAUGAAUAACGUAACAUUUGCGGAGUGGCAAAGGCGAAGCAAACUUGAUGGGGAACUAGCUCAGAUGGUAGAGCGCUCGCUUAGCAUGCUAGAGGUACCGGGAUCGAUGCCC